UUCCAUCGCUAAGUCAAGGCCUCUUCCUGCGACUUCGGUCGUGCACAACUUCGGUUGUGCUUGUUUCAAUGGAAUUCCGUCUGUUACAGCUUUGGUAUAUUAACACUGGCCCGCACCGAAUUUCGUUAUGAACCUAGGUUGACUUGCUUUCGUCUUGAAAGCCUGUCGCAAAGGGCCAGCUGUGUUUUGUUUUUGAGUAGAAGUCUGUUUCUGCCUAUUUGGUGGCUUUGUAGCAGACUUCUUAGUAACAUCCCACACAUUC
RNAcentral lists this non-coding RNA (262 nucleotides) under Penicillium flavigenum. RNAcentral describes it as "Small nucleolar RNA snR191". It matches the Rfam family "Small nucleolar RNA snR191". Lineage: Eukaryota; Fungi; Ascomycota; Eurotiomycetes; Eurotiales; Aspergillaceae. RNAcentral also lists the same sequence under 1 other name. The record is from Rfam by way of RNAcentral.